Molecule: transfer RNA, 76 nt
Filed under: Candidatus Poribacteria bacterium
Lineage: Bacteria; Candidatus Poribacteria
Description: tRNA-Ala
Rfam family: tRNA
About the family: Transfer RNA (tRNA) molecules are approximately 80 nucleotides in length. Their secondary structure includes four short double-helical elements and three loops (D, anti-codon, and T loops).
Source: RNAcentral
GGGGGAUUAGCUCAGCUGGGAGAGUACUUGCAUGGCAUGCAAGGGGUCACCGGUUCGAUCCCGGUAUCCUCCACCA